This 1614-nucleotide long non-coding RNA is filed under the name Daphnia pulicaria. RNAcentral describes it as "uncharacterized LOC124335923, transcript variant X2". Lineage: Eukaryota; Metazoa; Arthropoda; Branchiopoda; Diplostraca; Daphniidae. The record is from RNAcentral.
AUUAAAAAUUCCAAUCCAUUAUGUAUUACCAGGCAUCAGAUGUCGGAUCGUCCAUGUUCGUCCACGUCUUUGGGGCGUACUUUGGUUUGGCUGUUAGUUUCGUUUUAUAUCGCGGCACGGCUUAUUGCGCUGACAGACAGUCCAGGAAAGACGAAGCCAACAGUGACUCAAUUGGCGAAACCCUUUCCACUGCUGUUGGCACUAUGUUUCUGUGGCUUUUGUGGCCUAGUUUCAACGCGUGUUUGGCAAAAGGUGAUGCCAAGCAAUUUCGAGCCAUCAUCAACACCUAUUAUUCACUAUCGGGAAGUUGCGUGACAGCGUUUGCCGUCUCGUCUCUUGUUUUCAACUGCUUCGUGUGCGCUGAAGAUAACAGACGACGCAGUUUUAACAUGGCAAAUAUAUUACUAGCCUACUUAAAAGACGGAUGAAAUUUGGUUAGGAUAAUUGAAUGCCGAUAUACAGGUUGUUUUUCAAAACUCGACCCUUGUUGGUGGAGUUGUGAUCGGUACAUCUGCCGAUAUGAUGAUCAACAUAUGGGGAGCCAUGAUAAUUGGUGGUUUAGCUGGAGCAGGAUCUAUAUUCAUAAAUCGUUUUUCAACCGUAAGUGACGAUUUAGAUAUCAUGGCAUUAAAUUUCGUUCGUUUAAUUAAGUUUCUAAUCGCGUGUUCUUACUUUAAGACGAAAGCUGUUCACCGUAUAAUUGGAAUACGCAACGCAUGGGGAGUAAUCUCUUUGCACGGAAUCCCAGGUAUUGUAGCUGGUUUUGUGGGCGCAAUUGUAUCGGCCGCUGCGACUAAGGAAGAUUAUGGUUUCAGGUUCUAGAUCUAGAUAACAAAUAAUUUUGCUGGGUGUUGAUUUGAAGAAGAAAUUUUCUUGGGUCACGACAGCCUUUACCGACAGUUUUCAGCACGAUCUCCACUCAAUAGUUCCAGCGAGUUAUCAAAAAUUCAGUACUACGAUUUAAAAAUUGACCCUGGUCGAGAAAGAACAGCUUUACAACAAGCAGGAUUUCAGAUUGUUACACUUAUCGUGACCCUAGUUAUCGCAAUUAUAGGAGGCCUUGUAACAGGGACGAUUCUUUCGUUGUCUUUCUUCCGUCAACCGUAUGAAGAAAAUGACUCGCAACCUGAUCAGCUAACGCUUGUUGUUGACCAGUUAUUGCUCUCUGAAAGACGUUUAAACGUUAUUAAUGCAACCAACUAAACUAGUGCAAUCGUUAUUUUGACCGAGAAUUUGUCGUCCACUUGUUAACUGGUAAAGCCGUUUGAGCUGGUAAAACACUAAAAUUGAUAAAGCAAAUGCUGACGUUUGGUUUUAUUACUUUUCAAAGCGAAACUUUGCGUUUCUUUUUCUCUCCUAAGUUUCAGACAAGGAAUACAAAGUGUAAUAUGUAAAAAUAACAAAUAUUAAUUUAAAAAUUCAUUAUAAUAGAGAAACUGAGAAAGUAACUGACGCGUACCCCCCACCUACCCCUGGUUUGUGAACGCACUCCGGAGGAAUCCGCCAUGUUUCCACCUUGUUCGUGUUUCUCUUGAGUGAUUCGCAUAGGGGGGAUUCCUUAUGAAAACGACCAAAACCUGUGGCGACCAUCUCACGGAUUUGAUCGCCACUAAC